GAGAAACGUCAGAUGCUGUCGAUCGAGCCGCAAAAGCUGGACUUUUUAAUCGAAUCUACGUAACUGUUGGACAAAAAGUUGGUAUCGUAGAAUUGACAAAGUUAGAACCACGAUUUGAG
Molecule: small RNA, 119 nt
Filed under: Caenorhabditis elegans
Lineage: Eukaryota; Metazoa; Nematoda; Chromadorea; Rhabditida; Rhabditidae
Description: Unclassified non-coding RNA W06D4.10
Source: RNAcentral